This 73-nucleotide small nuclear RNA is filed under the name Claviceps purpurea 20.1. The record is from RNAcentral. Lineage: Eukaryota; Fungi; Ascomycota; Sordariomycetes; Hypocreales; Clavicipitaceae.
CUCCACAGAGAAGAUUAGCAUGGCCCCUGCACUAAGGAUGACACGCUCAAUCAAAGAGAAGCUAAACAUUUUU